Long non-coding RNA from Peromyscus maniculatus bairdii (prairie deer mouse), 494 nucleotides. RefSeq lists it as uncharacterized. The record is from RefSeq and is a predicted model, not a curated record. NCBI's taxonomy places the organism in Eukaryota, Metazoa, Chordata, Mammalia, Rodentia, Cricetidae.
AUCCUGCCAGGGACCAGGAUGAUUCCUGGAUGAUCAAAGAUAGAGGAUUCUGUAGACUCUCAUAGGUAAAAGAAAAGGCCCUUGAUGAAGAUUGACUGGGAGAUGGAAAAACUCACAGUGAUUGUGGAAUAUGGAGCCUGGGAGAACAAGAGUCACUGGGACUGGCACACAUACAGGGAAAGUCUCUGCUGGCACCUGCUCCUGGAUCCACAUUCUCCACUGCUGAGGAAAGCAGAAGUUCACCUUCCUCUGGACAUUCGUGGUGAAUACAAGGCAAGCUUUCUCUGACCAUGAAAGAUGAGCUGACAGUGGUUCUUCCCAUUUGACAGAUGAAGACUGAAUCUUAUAGAAGUUAACAUGACUGAAUCUUAUAGAAGUUAACAACAACUAAGGGUCCCCGUCCAGCCCUGACUCACUGAGCUGCUUAGAUUUUAUGGGUUCAGUGUUGAGUGAUGAUCCAUGAACUAGUGAUAUUAAAAGGAUAAUCUGCCUAA